Molecule: long non-coding RNA, 367 nt
Filed under: Hordeum vulgare
Lineage: Eukaryota; Viridiplantae; Streptophyta; Magnoliopsida; Poales; Poaceae
Description: long non-coding RNA (HVUL_LNC016007)
Source: RNAcentral
AAAUGUUUCCCAUUUGAUGGUAGAUGUCCUUGUAGCAUGUUGUAAAGCUUUAGAUUUACCCAUUACAGAAGUGUUAGAUUUUUCGCAGGAUUCCACAGAUGACAUGUAAAAUGAAUAUUUGCCUUACCUGUUUAUUAUUUUAAUAACGGAACAUGUGCUGACUUGUAAAGCUUUAGAUUUACCCAUUACAGGAGUGUUAGAUUUUUCGCAAGAUUCCACAGAUGUCAUCUAAAAUGAAUAUUUGCCUUACCUGUUUAUUAUUUUAAUAAUGGAACAUGUGCUGACUAUCUGCAGAGAAAUGGGGUCUUAUUUAUUAGUGGUGAUGUUCAUUUUGGAGAAAUUGCUCGUUUUGACUGUGGUGCUCAAU